GACGGGGGGGGCAAGUGUUCUUCGGAAUGACUGGGCGUAAAGGGCACGUAGGCGGUGAAUCGGGUUGAAAGUGAAAGUCGCCAAAAAGUGGCGGAAUGCUCUCGAAACCAAUUCACUUGAGUGAGACCGAGGAGAGUGGAAUUUCGUGUGUAGGGGUGAAAUGCGUAGAUAUGCGGAGGAACACCGAUGGCGAAGGCAAUCCCCUGGGCCUGCACUGACGCUCAUGCACGAAAGCGUGGGGAGCAAACAGG
This 251-nucleotide ribosomal RNA is filed under the name uncultured bacterium. RNAcentral describes it as "partial 16S ribosomal RNA". It matches the Rfam family "Bacterial small subunit ribosomal RNA", at positions 524 to 776 of the family's 1533-position model. The record is from RNAcentral.